GAGAGCCGGAUGCGAGGGAAACCCGCACGUCCGGUUUGGGAACCAGCUUGCAGGAGCUACCUGCUCCGCCAGAGCAGGGUGUGACUGUAAGUUGAGUUCAC
Molecule: non-coding RNA, 101 nt
Filed under: Seleniivibrio woodruffii
Lineage: Bacteria; Pseudomonadati; Deferribacterota; Deferribacteres; Deferribacterales; Geovibrionaceae
Source: RNAcentral